GUUAAUUUCUUUAAAAUCUGUGAAAUAAAGCAAAUUUGGUUUAAUUCUGAAUGUUCCCCUUUUUCACCCUAUAUAGGUUGCAUUUCUGUAAAUAUUGACAAUGCAAUUUCCCAUAGGAACUCCUUUUACGGCUAAAACUGUACCACUUUUACUAUGAAGUUUUGAAAAAAAUCUUAUCCUAGAAUUGAAAGUUCAUAUGCACCACAAUUUUUUUCAAAGGUCAAAAUAUAGGGCUGUGCGGCAUAUUUUCAACGUUUAUAUGCCCUGAACUUCUCAGAGUUUAAACUUACACUAAUUUUCUUAACUACCCCUACCUCGAAUGAAAGGUUACCACAG
RNAcentral lists this long non-coding RNA (336 nucleotides) under Mytilus galloprovincialis (Mediterranean mussel). Lineage: Eukaryota; Metazoa; Mollusca; Bivalvia; Mytilida; Mytilidae. The record is from RNAcentral.